AGAUGUAUCGGCCACAUACUUCCUCAACAUCGAAACAUGGAAAACAUUAUGAACUGCAGAGAGUGAUGGUGGUAAUGCCAAGCGAUACGCCACAACACCAACCCUCUCUAAGAUCUCAAAUGGUCCAACAAAACGAGGACUUAACUUUCCUUUCUUCUCAAAACGCAUAACACCCUUCAUAGGUGCUACCUUCAAGAAUACCUUUUCUCCCACAUCGAACUUAAGGUCUUUUCGCCGUACAUCUGCAUAACUCUUCUGUCUACUCUGCGCUGUUUGCAUACGCGUUCUAAUCUUUUGAAUAGCCUCAUUAGUAGACCGAACUAAUUCAGGUCCCAUCAAUCUAUGUUCACCAACCUCACUCCAACAAACAGGGGUUCUACAACAUUUGCCAAAGAAAGCCUCAAAUGGUGCCAUACCGAUGGUAGCCUGAAAACUGUUGUUAUAAGCAAACUCCAUCAAAUGUAGAUGAGAGUCCCAACUACCUGGAAACUCUAUAACACAAGCUCGUAGCAUAUCCUCUAAAACUUGGUUCAAACGUUCAGUUUGACCAUCAGUCUGUGGAUGAAAGGCUGUACUGAAAUCCAAUCUCGUACCCAUAGCAGUCUGAAGUCCCUUCCAAAACUUGGAAGUAAACCGUGCAUCCCUAUCAGAAACAAUCGAUACAGACACUCCAUGCAGUCUCACAACCUCAGUUAAAUACAACUGUGCCCACUUACUAGCAGUAAAAGUGGAUUUCCCUGGUACAAAAUGUGCCGAUUUCGUAAGCCUGUCUACAAUAACCCAAAUCACUGUGAAACCCUUCAGGGUUUUAGGCAAUUAUAUAAUAAAAUCCAUAGAUACAUUCUCCCACUUCCACUCUAAUAUACUCAAAGGUUGCAACAAACCUGUUGUUUUCUAUCUUGGUGCUUUAACCUACUAGCACACCAAGCACUUACUAACAAGAUUUUCCAUUUCUCUCUUCAUAUUACGCUAGUAACAAACUCUUUUCAAUUCCGGAUACAUUUUUGUGCUACUUGGAUGCAUGAGAAAUGGGAAACUAUGAGUCUCAACCAAUAACCUUGUCUUAAUUGCAUUUUCUGUUGGCACACACAAUUUUCUUUCAAACAUAAGUUCAUCAUCAAAGGAUAUGGAAAACUCCUUAACUUGCCCUACUUCUACUAGGUGAUGCUUCUCAAUCAAAUAAGGAUCAAUGAAUUGAACCACAAGAAUUCUUUGUCUCAAGGUCGGAUGUACUGACAACUGAGCUAACUUUGAGGUGACUUCCCCCACUGAAACUACAAUCUCAGCUCUCUCGUGGUUUUUGUCUAAUGAAACCUGUCUGGUAAUAAGUGCUGUCAAAAUGUGAUACUUUUCUACGAAGAGCACCAACUUCCACAUUCGCCUUACCUAGAUGGUACAAAAUCUCACAAUCAUAGUCAUUUACUAAUUCAAACCAUCUUUGCUAUCUCAUACUCAACUUCUUUUGAGUGAAGAAGUAUUUUAUACUCUUUUGGUUAGAAAAUAUCUAUAUCUUUUCAUCAUACAUAUAGUGCCUUCAAAUCAUUAAUGUAAAAACCACAACUGUCAAUUCCAUAUCAUAAGUUGGACAAUUUUCCUCAUGACUCUUCAACUGACGAGGAGUACAAGCAACUACUUUAACUUGUUGAAUCAGAAUACCUUUUAAACUUUCCUAAAAGCAUCACUAUAAAUUACGGAACAUUCUGAACCAUCAUGUACGGUAAGCACGGGAGUUGUACAAGCUUCUGCUUAAGAUCCUGAACACUAUCCUCAUAGGCUUUGUCCCAAACAAACAGAGUCCCUUUUCUUAGUUAACUGAGUCAAAGGAGUAGCUAUACGAGAAAAUUCUUAUACAAACCGUUAGUAAUAACCUGCUGAACCCAAAAAGACUACGAACCUCACUGACUAUGAAAAGUUGAGGCCAACUGGUAACGACUUCAAUCUUUUAUGAGAUCCACAUAAAUGUCAUCUCUAGAUACCACAUGGCUUGGAAAGAUACUUGGCCUCAUCCAAAACUCACAUUUUGAAAACUUUGCAUACAAUUUGUUGACUCGAAGAGCCUCUUAAAACCAUGUUAAAUGCUCCUCAUGCGCUGUCUCUAUUUUGGAAUAAAUUAAGAUAUCGUCAAUAAAUACAAUCACGAAAGUGUCUAAGAGAUCGUUAAACACUUUGUUCAUCAAGUCGUAAACAUUGUUUGAGCAUUUGCCCACUCAAAAGACAUCAUAAUGAACUCAUGAUGUCCAUAUCUCGAACGAAAAUCUGCCUUAGGAAUGUCACUGUUCUCUAAUCCUCAACAAGUCAUAACCUGAAUGUAAUUCAAUCUUAAAGAACACGGACUUAUUGCAGUUGAUCAAACAAAUCCUCAUUCAUUGGUAAAAGAUAUUUAUUCUUAACCGACACCUUAUUCAACUUUCUACAAUCAAAACAUAAGUGCAUCGACCCAUCUUUCUUCUUAAUAAACAAAAAUUGGUGCACCCCAAGAUAACAUACUUCGUCGAAUGUAGUCCUUGUCAAACAUUUCUUUCAAUUGCACCUUCAAAUCUUUCAACUCUGUUGGGGCCAUUUUGUAUGAAGCUUUAGAUAUAGGAACGAGUCUAACUCUAUCUCAAUAACAAGACCAAUUUCUGUUUAGCACGGUAAUCUUAGAAACUCUUCUAGAAAAAUAUCAUAAUACUUUUUCACCACUGAUUCAAAUAACAAAGAAACAUCGACUUCUCUGGUGUCUACCACACUAGUCAAAUACAACAGGUACCCUGGUCAAGCAACUUACUAACCUUCAUAGUUGGGAUAACUUUUAGCGAAACGAUAGUUCCAACCUCUUUGUACUUGAAACUAGCCUCUGGAGAAGGAUUAGAAACUACAUUUUCGCUGAACAUUUUAUGUUUACAUGGUUAAACUACAUUCCAAUUUUCAAACUCCAAACUAGUAACUUUUCAUUCACGAGAAACUCAAAAUUGUUUCUUAAAGUCACAUCAAGACAACCAUGCUCAUCUUCCUUGUUUCUUUUCCAAUACCUCCAUUCUAAAACCAUUUAAUGUGUUUCGUAUAAACUUGACCGUGUAUUUAGUCCUCUUUAAAACCACCUACAUAACUUAUUUUUCUUAGAUUUCCAAUCACAAAACAGACAAUUUCGCUAACAACGUCUUACUUUUCUACUACUCGACCACUCCUUUGAACACCUCUACAUGGCAACAUUUUUCCUAAAUUUCACCAUUAAAUCCUUCACCAUUAAAUCAUAACAUUCAUGUAAUUCUAGUUUAACUUAGGCAAGGUCAUAUACAUAAACCAUACAUAUAAGCAUAAAGCAUACCUGACGAGAGACGAAGGGUCGCGUUAGCCAUAGGGACACAAAAACAUAGACUUACAUCGUAAGUCAGUCUACAGAACCUAAAACUUAGGCUUUGAUACCAACUGUAACGACCCAACUUUUCUAGGUAAAUCGAGGUCAUUAAUUUUUAACAAAAGACUUUGAUUGAUACAAAAUGAAACGUAAGUCAAUUUUAAAAACAAAUUAUGUCAGGCCUGAUUUUCAAAUAUUCAAGAAAACAUAAAAAUAACACUAUUUACAAAUAAAAGUUUGUAAACUAAGUUUUUAGUACAUUUUAAACCUCACAAGAACCCAUAAGCGGAGCAAAAACACGUUUCCUAUGGCAUCACGCUUCCUUCCUGCCCCUCGCCUGUUUGCCGCCUUUAUUACCUUUGCCUGAAAAUUAAACAUAAGAAGGGUGAGUAUUUUAAAUACUCAGUAAGAGACCCUCUACUGGUCUCGUCAGGAGAAAAUAAAUUAUUAACGAUCUAUUGGGACACCCUGUACAGUCACAGUCUUGUGAUCCCGUAGGAUACAUAUCUCAGUCUAACGCCCCGAGGGACGUACAUAUCAGUCUAGUGUUCUGCAGAAACACAUAUCAGUCAAAUGCUCCCGAAGGUUCACAAUAAAUUGGUGAUCCCGUGGGACACCUACAAGGUAAACAUCCCAAUACAAUCUAACAAUUUAUCCCCUCAUUCCAUUCAACCCAUCUUUCAGUUACUUCAAGUCACAAAGUUCUUUCUUUCAACAUCCUAACAGUCAACUUAUUUUACUACAGUCAUAUGUCUGUCAAUAAUAUGCUAAUACAUCAGUCAAUCCACUAUACAGUCAAUGCACCCCUCAGUUCACCAGCACAAACCACAGUUCAGUAUAAUCCACAUCCAACCGAAACAAAUUCACUAGUUCACAUCCAAUCUUUAUACAGCACAAUCUAUUAAUAUCAUCAUGUACACAUAAGCAUAAUUUCAGUCAUUCACAUGUAUACUUUUGGCAAUCCACAUCAAUUCACACAUCAAUGUAUAUAUAUAUGUUUCCAGUCAAAUACAACAUACACUAAACAUUUAGUCUGCAAUCAAACAUGUACAUCUUAAUCAUCAUCCAUACAGUCCAACACAACUCAAAAACUUUAGGUGAGUCCAGUAGAAAGUCCCUUACCUGGAUCUUUAUGUAAAAUUCCUUAGUCGAACUACGAACUAACUUCAACAAACAAACCCCAAGAGUAAAGAAUCGAACUCCAACAAAGCUUAAGGCGUAACUCAAGGACACUAACUCCAAAUCACCGAUGUCACCUUCAAGAACAAAGAUCAAUUCAACCAAUUAAACAACAUCACAUCUUAAUGUAUUUACAAAUGUAAGACCUUAUUACCGAACAAUCUCAUCCUUACCAAUAUCUUGUAACAAGACUUUGACAAUCGACGUUAAAUAGAACUUGCCGCAGGAUCUACACAAAAGACAUCGUGCAAAACACUUCUGCACGCGAACCGGUCCGUGAUUCGUAAAUGGGACAGCGGGUAUCGACGAAGGCAGAACGGUUCGGACGUUCAACAGCAGUUACGCGCGGACGGGAGUAGCCCGGCAACGUAGCCGAACUCGUGCGAUGCGGCGUGACCUGCGUCGGCGAGGCUGUUCGUGACUGAGGCGUGCGACUUGCCUCGCGGACGGAGAUAGAGACGGCGGAGACGGUUGCAGAACCGUGGCUUCGACGGAGACAGACUCGGCUGCGACGGCUGGGCAGCGGCGGAAGAGCAACGGCGCCGCAGAUCUGGACCGGAUAGUUACGUGGCGGCUGCUGCAAGGCUGCUUCGCGAACGGAGAUGGAGAACGGAAUGGAGGUCGAGGCGCUCGGCUUUAGUAGGGGAGACGCGGCGGCCGACGGCUGCUGCGAACGGAAGACAAGAAGACGGUGGGGUCGUCGCGGCGCACGGGAGGAAGGAGAAGAGGGGCGGCGGUUGCGGCUGGGCACGAACGAAAGGAGAAGAGGACGGUUGGGGCGGUUGCUGCUGCGCGAACGGAGAGAAGGGGAAGGAGGGUCGCGGCGCACGGGAGGAAGAAAAAGAGAAUUUUCUUUUUCUUUUCUUUUAUUUAAUAAAAAUAUAAUUAUAAAUAUAUAUAUAUAUAUAUAUAUAUAUAUAUUUAUAUAAUUAUAUUAAUACAUUUUCAAAUCUUCUUUCUCUCCUUCAACAUAUUUUUUUAAAAAAAAUAUCUUGAACAAAUCGAAAUAAUUCUCUUAAAAUAAAAUACCUUCAAGUUUAGGGCGUUACAUUCUUCCCUCCUUAAGAAACUUUCGUCCUCGAAAGUUCUAAUCCUUAAAUAACUCUAGAUAACGAGUCAUCAUCUCUUCUUCUCGCUCCCAUGUCGCCUCUUCAAUUCGAUGAUUCUGCCACAAAACCUUUACUAAUGGAAUGCUUCUAUUACGAAGCAUCUUUACCUCUCUAGCCAGAAUCUCCACAGGUUGUUCUACAUAGCUCAAAUGCUCAUCAAUCUCCAAGGGUUCAUAGUCCACUACAUGAGAUGUAUCGGCCACAUACUUCCUCAACAUCGAAACAUGAAAAACAUUAUGAACUGCAGAGAGAGAUGGUGGUAAUGCCAAGCGAUACGCCACAACACCAACCCUCUCUAAGAUCUCAAAUGGUCCAACAAAACGAGGACUUAACUUUCCUUUCUUCUCAAAACGCAUAACACCCUUCAUAGGUGCUACCUUCAAGAAUACCUUUUCUCCCCACAUCGAACUUAAGGUCUUUUCACCGUACAUCUGCAUAACUCUUCUGUCUACUCUGCGCUGUUUGCAUACGCGUUCUAAUCUUUUGAAUAGCCUCAUUAGUAGACCGAACUAAUUCAGGUCCCAUCAACCUAUGUUCACCAACCUCACCCCAACAAACAGGGGUUCUACAACAUUUGCCAUACAAAGCCUCAAAUGGUGUCAUACCGAUGGUAGCCUGGAAACUGUUGUUAUAAGAAAACUCCAUCAAAUGUAGAUGAGAGUCCCAACUACCUGGAAACUCUAUAACACAAGCUCGUAGCAUAUCCUCUAAAACUUGGUUCAAACGUUCAGUUUGACCAUCAGUCUGUGGAUGAAAGGCUGUACUAAAAUCCAAUCUCGUACCCAUAGCAGUCUGAAGUCCCUUCCAAAACUUGGAAGUAAACCGUGCAUCCCUAUCAGAAACAAUCGAUACAGGCACUCCAUGCAGUCUCACAACCUCAGUUAAAUACAACUCUGCCCACUUACUAGCAGUAUAAGUGGAUUUCCCUGGUACAAAAUGUGCCGAUUUCGCAAGCCUGUCUAUGACAACCAGAAUCACUGUGAAACCCUUCAGGGUCUUAGGCAACCCUGAAAUAAAAUCCAUCGACACAUUCUCCCACUUCCACUCUGGCACACUUAAAGGUUGUAACAAACCUGCUGGUUUCUGUCUAGGUGUCUUAACUUGCUGACAUACUAAGCACUUACUAACAAGAUCUUCCAUUUCUCUCUUCAUAUUACGCUAGUAACAAACUCUUUUCAGAUCUGGAUACAUUUUUGUGCUACUUGGAUGCAUGAGAAAUGGCAAACUAUGAGUCUCAACCAAUAACCUUGUCUUAAUUGCAUUUUCUGUUGGCACACACAAUUUUCUUUCAAACAUAAGUUCAUCAUCAAAGGAUAUGGAAAACUCCUUAACUUGCCCUACUUCUACUAGGUGAUGCUUCUCAAUCAAAUAAGGAUCAAUGAAUUGAACCACAAGAAUUCUUUGUCUCAAGGUCGGAUGUACUGACAACUGAGCUAACUUUGAGGUGACUUCCCCCACUGAAACUACAAUCUCAGCUCUCUCGUGGUUUUUGUCUAAUGAAACCUGUCUGGUAAUAAGUGCUGUCAAAAUGUGAUACUUUUCUACGAAGAGCACCAACUUCCACAUUCGCCUUACCUAGAUGGUACAAAAUCUCACAAUCAUAGUCAUUUACUAACUGAAACCAUCUUUGCUAUCUCAUACUCAACUUCUUUUGAGUGAAGAAGUAUUUUAUACUCUUUUGGUUAGAAAAUAUCUAUAUAUUUUCAUCAUACAUAUAGUGCCUUCAAAUCAUUAAUGUAAAAACCACAACUGUCAAUUCCAUAUCAUAAGUUGGACAAUUUUUCUCACGAGGAGUACAAGCAACUACUUUAACUUGUUGAAUAAGAAUACCUUUUAAACUUUCCUAAAAGCAUCACUAUAAAUUACGGAACAUUCUGAACCAUCAUGUACGGUAAGCACGGGAGUUGUACAAGCUUCUGCUUAAGAUCCUGAACACUAUCCUCAUAGGCUUUGUCCCAAACAAACGGAGUCCCUUUUCUUAGUUAACUGAGUCAAAGGAGUAGCUAUACGAGAAAAUUCUUAUACAAACCGUCAGUAAUAACCUGCUGAACCCAAAAAGACUACGAACCUCACUGACUAUGAAAGGUUGAGGCCAACUGGUAACGACUUCAAUCUUUUAUGAGAUCCACAUAAAUGUCAUCUCUAGAUACCACAUGGCUUGGAAAGAUACUUGGCCUCAUCCAAAACUCACAUUUUGAAAACUUUGCAUACAAUUUGUUGACUCGAAGAGCCUCUAAAACCAUGUUAAAUGCUCCUCAUGCGCUGUCUCUAUUUUGGAAUAAAUUAAGAUAUCGUCAAUAAAUACAAUCACGAAAGUGUCUAAGAGAUCGUUAAACACUUUGUUCAUCAAGUCGUAAACAUUGUUUGAGCAUUUGCCAACUCAAAAGACAUCAUAAUGAACUCAUGAUGUCCAUAUCUCGAACGAAAAUCUGCCUUAGGAAUGUCACUGUUCUCUAAUCCUCAACAAGUCAUAACCUGAAUGUAAUUCAAUCUUAAAGAACACGGACUUAUUGCAGUUGAUCAAACAAAUCCUCAUUCAUUGGUAAAAGAUAUUUAUUCUUAACCGACACCUUAUUCAACUUUCUACAAUCAAAACAUAAGUGCAUCGACCCAUCUUUCUUCUUAAUAAACAAAAAUUGGUGCACCCCAAGAUAACAUACUUCGUCAAAUGUAGUCCUUGUCAAACAUUUCUUUCAAUUGCACCUUCAAAUCUUUCAACUCUGUUGGUGCCAUUUUGUAUGAAGCUUUAGAUAUAGGAACGAGUCUAACUCUAUCUCAAUAACAAGACCAAUUUCUGUUUAGCACGGUAAUCUUAGAAACUCUUCUAGAAAAAUAUCAUAAUACUUUUUCACCACUGAUUCAAAUAACAAAGAAACAUCGACUUCUCUGGUGUCUACCACACUAGUCAAAUACAACAGGUACCCUGGUCAAGCAACUUACUAACCUUCAUAGUUGGGAUAACUUUUAGCGAAACGAUAGUUCCAACCUCUUUGUACUUGAAACUAGCCUCUGGAGAAGAAUUAGAAACCACAUUUGCACUGAACAUUUUAUGUUUACAUGGUUAAACUACAUUCCAAUUUUCAAACUCCAAACUAGUAACUUUUCAUUCACGAGAAACUCAAAAUUGUUUCUUAAAGUCACAUCAAGACAACCAUGCUCAUCUUCCUUGUUUCUUUUCCAAUACCUCCAUUCUAAAACCAUUUAAUGUGUUUCGUAUAAACUUGACCGUGUAUUUAGUCCUCUUUAAAACCACCUACAUAACUUAUUUUUCUUAGAUUUCCAAUCACAAAACAGACAAUUUCGCUAACAACGUCUUACUUUUCUACUACUCGACCACCCCUUUGAACACGUCUACAUGGCAACAUUUUUCCUAAAUUUCACCAUUAAAUCCUUCACCAUUAAAUCAUAACAUUCAUGUAAUUCUAGUUUAACUUAGGCAAGGUCAUAUACAUAAACCAUACAUAUAAGCAUAAAGCAUACCUGACGAGAGACGAAGGGUCGCGUUAGCCAUAGGGACACAAAAACAUAGACUUACAUCGUAAGUCAGUCUACAGAACCUAAAACUUAGGCUCUGAUACCAACUGUAACGACCCAACUUUUCUGGGUAAGUCGAGGUCGUUAAUUUUUGAACAAAAGACUUUGGUUGAUACAAAUUGAAACAUAAGUCAAUUUAAAAACAAAACAUGUCAGGCCUGAUUUUCAAAUAUUCAAGAAAACUUAACAAUAACACUAUUUACAAAUAAAAUUUUGUAAACUAAGUUUUAGUACAUCUUAAACCUUAAAAGAAAUCAUAAGCGGAAGCAAAAUAACACAUUCCCUAUGGCAAUCACGCUUCCUUCCUGCCCCUCGCCGGUUUGCCACCUUUAUUUCCUUUGCCUGAAAAUUAAACAUAAGAAGGGUGAGUAUAACAAUACUCAGUAAGAGACCCUCUACUGGUCUCUUCAUGGGAAAAUAAAUUGUUAAAGUUCUAUUGGGACACCUUGUACAGUCGCAGUCUUGUGAUCCCGUAUGAUACACAUUUCAGUCUAACGCCCCGAGGGACGUACAUAUCAGUCUAACGCCCUGAGGGACGUACAUAUCAGUCUAACGCCCCGAGGGACGUACAUAUCAGUCAAGUGUUCUACAGAAACACAUAUCAGUCAAAUGCUCCCGAAGGUGCAAAAUAAAUUGGUGAUCCCGUGGGACACCUACAAGGUAAACAUCCCAAUACAACCUAACAAUUUAUCCCCUCAUUCCAUUCAACCCAUCUUUCAGUUACUUCAAAUCACAAAGUCCUUUCUUUCAACAUCCUAACAGUCAACUUAUUUUACUACAAUCAUAUGUCUGUCAAUAAAAUGCUAAUACAUCAGUCAAUCCACUAUACAGUCAAGUCAAUACACCCCUCAGUUCACCAGCACAAACCACAGUUCAGUAUAAUCCACAUCCAACCGAAACAAAUUCACUAGUUCACAUCCAAUCUUUAUACAGCACAAUCUAUUAAUAUCAUCAUGUACACAUAAGCAUAAUUUCAGUCAUUCACAUGUAUACUUUUGGCAAUCCACAUCAAUUCACACAUCAAUGUAUAUAUAUAUGUUUCCAGUCAAAUACAACAUACACUAAACAUUUAGUCUGCAAUCAAACAUGUACAUCUUAAUCAUCAUCCAUACAGUCCAACACAACUCAAAAACUUUAGGUGAGUCCAGUAGAAAGUCCCUUACCUGGAUCUUUAUGUAAAAUUCCUUAGUCGAACUACGAACUAACUUCAACAAACAAACCCCAAGAGUAAAGAAUCGAACUCCAACAAAGCUUAAGGCGUAACUCAAGGACACUAACUCCAAAUCACCGAUGUCGCCUUCAAGAACAAAGAUCAAUUCAACCAAUUAAACAACAUCACAUCUUAAUGUAUUUACAAAUGUAAGACCUUAUUACCGAACAAUCUCAUCCUUACCAAUAUCUUGUAACAAGACUUUGACAAUCGACGUUAAAUAGAAGUUGCCGUAGGAUCUACACAAAAGACAUCGUGCAAAACACUUCUGCACGCGAACCGGUCCGCGAUUCGUAAAUGGGACAGCGGGUAUCGACGAAGGCAGAACGAUUCGGACGUUCAACAGCAGUUAUGCGCGGACGGGAGUAGCCCGGCAACGUAGCCGAACUCGUGCGAUGCGGCGUGACCUGCAUCGGCGAGGCUGUUCGUGACUGAGGCGUGCAACUUGCCUCGCGGACGGAGAUAGAGACGGCGGAGACGGUUGCAGAACCGUGGCUUCGACGGAGACAGAACCGGCUGCGACGGCUGGGCAGCGGCGGAAGAGCAACGGCGCCGCAGAUCUGGACCGGAUAGUUACGCGGCGGCUGCUGCAAGGCUGCUUCGCGAACGGAGAUGGAGAACGGAAUGGAGGUCGAGGCGCUCGGCUUCAGUAGGGGAGACGCGGCGGCCGACGGCUGCUGCAAACGGAAGAGAAGAAGACGGUGGGGUCGUCGCGGCACACGGGAGGAAGGAGAAGAGGGGCGGCGGUUGCGGCUGGGCACGAACGGAAGGAGAAGAGGACGGUUGGGGCGGUUGCUGCGCGAACGGAGAGAAGGGGAAGGAGGGUCGCGGCGCACGGGAGGAAGAAAAAGAGAAUUUUCUUUUUCUUUUCUUUUAUUUAAUAAAAAUAUAAAAUAUAUAUAUAUAUAAUUAUAUUAAUACAUUUUCAAAUCUUCUUUCUCUCCUUCAACAUAUUUUUUUAAAAAAAAUAUCUUGAACAAAUCGAAAUAAUUCUCUUAAAAUAAAAUACCUUCAAGUUUAGGGCGUUACAGUUCGAUUCGAUUUCUAUUUCAAAAAAACCACAUAAAAUUCGAUUCGGUUCAGUUUAAGAUGUUAAGAACCGAUUCUCAAACCGAACUGAAUUGCUUUAUUUUAAAAACUAAAUAUAUAUAUAUAUAUAUAUAUAUGUUAAUAAUAAGACUUUUUUAGACUUCAAAGCGGGUAUAGAGGCAAAAAUAAAUGAGAGGAACGAAAAGGAGAAGAAUGACAUAAUCAAAACGUAAAUGACAAGUUGUCUUGACGAAGUUUGUAUGACUGUAGGACUUUUAUUCAUCUUAGGUGGAUUUUAAAACUUCUAUGUGUUGUUGGACUUUCAAAUUUCAAUGUUUGAAACAUCUAUGUCUGUAAUUUUGAAAUUUCUAUGUUUAUAACUUUGUAUAAGCCGUUCGGUUUUGAUUUGAUUUUAUUUAUGUAUAUGUGGUUCGGUUUUCAUUCGGUUUGGCAUAGAUGAGCGGUUCGGUUCGGUUUCAAUGAAGAUUUUUUUUAUCAUUUUGCGGUUCGAUGCGGUUUUAGCUUCAAACCGAACCGCGAACAACACUAAUAUGUAAUGUUGAGAUCAACUGAAUAUGUUUGUAAUGUAGGGACUUUGAUGAAAGAAUUAAAGAUUCAGGAAAUUGUAUGAAAAAAAUGGUUGAAUGUUAAAUUGACUUAUGAAUAGUGUAUAUGAAACAAUACAUUAUAUAUUUUAUGAAUGAAAUGUUAUGCAAUCAAUUUGUUAAACUGGUUUAUUUAUUUUAUUUCAAAUAUUUAUUUUAUAUGUAAUAAAUAAUAAGUUAUGUUUGAAACAACAGUAUAAGGAUAUAUCAUAAUAUAUAUUGUUCAUUUAAGGUUAGUAAGAAUUUUAUAUUUUGUAUUUGAAAUAUACUAUGAUAUACUGAGUACAUCAAAGAUGACAUCAUUUAUGUACUAUUGAAAAUAUGAAGUAGUAUAUAUAUGUAACAAAUCACAUAAGAUAUAUGUAUCAUGUACUAGUAUAUACGUCAUUAUUUAUAUAUACACACCUAAUGAAAAAAAGUAGAGUGUGUGGGACCCACGUAUAUAAAUAAUGAGAAAAUAAAAAAUGUUGGCCCAAUGUAAUAUAUAUAUAAAGUAAAAAAUAAACUAUGUAGGGUCCACUGCAUGAAAAUUGUGUAGGGGUACAAAACUUCACCUCAACUCACCUAUUUUUGUCAAUAGUUUUGCAUUCACCUACUUUUGACAUAUGUUUCAAAAUUUACAUUAUUUUUUAAAAAAAGUACUAUACAUAAUAAAUAAUAACUCGUGAUUGAAACAAGAGUGGUUAUGUAUGAAGGAUAGUAUAUUAAAUAUAAUAAAUUGAAAAACUUUGAUUGGUACCGUAGAUGAAAAUUUAUGAAAAAAUAUAGAAAUAAAAUAACUAAAUUAAAAACUGAAAUAUGAAUAUUUCAAAUAAAAGUAUAAAUCAACAUACUAAAAGUUUAAUAAUAAGAAAGAAAAAUUAGUUCAAUAAGUAAAGCUUGCAUCUCUUUCGUUUAUGACAACCACAUUUAAAACUUCAUUUUAGAAUGAAUUCUAAUAUUUUUUUGUUGACCAACUGAACGUUUUACAUUCAAUGGGAUGAUGUCAACUUCAAUUACUGUAUAAUUGAAUAUAUGCAUUAGUGUGUAUGUAACAAAUCAAAUAAAAUACUAAUCGAAUAUAGAAAAAUAUAAAGAAAAUGAUACAAAACGUGAAGGAAAAAAACUGAACUAUAUAUGUGUCACAAAAUACGUGUUAUUAUAUUUAUAUAAAUGUAUAUAUUGAUAACAUCACCUGUCUAUGUAGUGAUAUAUAUUGAAAUUCAACUAUAAAUUAUGUAGAACUAUAUGUCACUAAAUAUUUAUGUUGUAAAUAAGGUGUAUCUAUAUAUUAAAUCACAUCAUAAACAUAUUAUAAUUUACGAGUAUAUUAUAGUAUAUAUUGUUCAUUUAAAAGAUAUAUGACAAAUAGAAGGUAUAUAAUUAUACGAAGUGAGAAUAUGUAUGUAUGAUAUUCUCACUACAUAUUAUAUAUACACUAAGAAUGUGUAUUUUACUGUUUUAGUAGUAUUUACUAUAUAAAUAUAUAUUUUAAAUAUUAAUUAUUAAUGAAUAUAUAGUUUACUACAUGUUGUUACAACAUACUUAAGAUAUAAAUGUUUAUAUGACUAACAACAUAAUAUUACUAUAAGAUAAACAAAAAAAUAAAGAACAGAUUGAAUUGAAAAAUAUUUUCGAUUAUUGUAUGUCACUAUAUAUGUCUGAUUGUAUAUAUCUCUAAGAAAUAUUACAUAAUGAGGUAGUAUAUAUGUAACAAAUCACAUAAUAUAUAUGUAUUAUGGAGUAGUAUAAAUGUAAUUGUUGAGCAAGAAAUUUCAACCAAUGAAAUUACACCACGUCGUCGCACCCAAGUUGUGAUGAUUAUAAUUUGAUUGGAUUUGGGUAGUCAAGUUUUCCAACCCAAUUCAAGCCCCUGAUAAAAAAUCAGGCCAAACAAGGGGCCUAAGCCCACUAAGAAAAUGGGCCCAAGCCCAAGUCCAAGCUCAACAACUCAACAAGCAAAUGGGUCCAAGCCCACAUAAAGUCCACAAAUUUUCUCUAUAAGUAGAGACCUUUGUCAUUCAUUCGAGAGAUCUUUUGUUGAAGGAAGAAAUGAAGCUCUGAAGUAGUGAAGCUUUGAAGAAUUGAAGAUUCAAACUUCUAUAGAGCUCUCAAGACGUGCAAGUUCUGAUCAACUUCGAGAUCAUCAUCUUGUGAAAUAUUGAAGACUUGGAAAAUCAAAAUUUCCUUGAAUUCUAGAAGACUGAAGCUGAAAUAGACCGAACCAUUUAAAUUCAGUUUGGACUAUUUGAGACAGCAACAAACUUUGUUUUUUGUUUUGUACAUAAAUGGUGUGGUUUGAUUCGGUUUUAACAAGCGGUUCAAUUUAUACCGUUUAGACUUGAUCUUAUAUAAUGUGAAAUUAUUUUUUUUUCUUUGAAUUUUUAUCUAAGUGUACUCAAAUUGUAUACCAUGUUACAAAAUUAAUUGCAAUAAAAUUUUUAAAAUUUUCAAAAAUAUAAUAAAUUGACUAAUAUUUUAUACAAAUAUAGAGUAAAAAUGACCAAUUUACUCUUUUUAUUAUUAAUAAUAUAUUAAAAAUAAAAAGAAAAGUGAACCACGUUUAAGAUUUUCAUUUAUUAAAUAUUAUAUGAAAAUAUGGAUUAAAUUCUAUUAAAGUAAUAUUAAUAAUAAAAAUUGUCCUUAGUUUGCUUUUUAUGAUUUUAUUAAAAAAUUGUCCUUUUUUAUUUUGCAUUCUUUUUCAUAUAUUUUAUAUAAUUAUAGUAUAUAUUAAAUAAUAUAAUGUAUAUUUUAUUUGUGAAAUGUUCUUAUAUCAAUUUAUUUAUUUAUUUUAUAUAAAUAUUCAUAUCUUACGUAGUAAAUAAUACAUUAUGUUUGAAAUAAUAUUAAUUAUAUAUGAAAGUUGUUUAUGUUUACAAGAACAUGAAUGAGAAAUAAUUAUGAUGAGUAUAUGUAAUAUAUGUCAUUAAAAUAUUUGUUAUUCUCUAGUAUAUGUAAUAGGGGUGUUCAAAAUGAAGUUGAAAACUGAAUCGAAUCACUAAUCGAACCGAAAUCGAAUGCAUAUGGUUCGGUUCGAUUCGAUUUUUAUUUCAAAAAAACCACAUAAAAUUCGGUUCGGUUCAGUUUAAGAUGUUAAGAACCGAUUCUCAAACCGAACUGAAUUACUUAAUUUUAAAAACUAUAUAUAUAUAUAUAUAUGUUAAUAAUAAGACUUUUUUAGACUUCAAAGCGGGUAUAGAGGCAAAAAUCAAUGAGAGGAACGAAAAGGAGAAGAAUGACAUAAUCAAAACGUAAAUGACAAGUUGUCUUGACGAAGUUUGCAUGACUGUAGGACUUUUAUUCAUCUUAGGUGGAUUUUAAAACUUCUAUGUGUUGUUGGACUUUCAAAUUUCAAUGUUUGAAACAUCUAUGUCUGUAAUUUUGAAAUUUCUAUGUUUAUAACUUUGUAUAAGCCGUUCGGUUUUGAUUUGAUUUUAUUUAUGUAUAUGUGGUUCGGUUUUCAUUCAGUUUGGCAUAGAUGAGCAGUUCGGUUCGGUUUCAAUGAAGAUUUUUUUUAUCAUUUUGCGGUUCGAUGCGGUUUUAGCUUCAAACCGAACCGCGAACAUCACUAAUAUGUUGUAACGACCCAACUUUUCUAAGUACGUCGAGAUCGUUAAUUUUUAACAAAUAAAGACUUUGAUUAAUAUAAAACAAAACGUAAGCAAUUUAAAACAAAACAUCUUCAAGUCAGGCCUGAUUUUUAAACAUUCAAGAAAACAUAAAAUAAUACUAUUUACAACCAACGUUUGUAAACUAAAUUUCAAUUCAUUUUAAACCUCACAAGAACCCAUAAGCGGAAGCAAAAACACGUUUCCUAUGGCAUCACGCUUCCUUCCUGCCCCUCGCCUGUUUGCCGCCUUUAUUACCUUUGCUGAAAAUUAAACAUAAGAAGGGUGAGUAUAACAAUACUCAGUAAGAGACCUUCUACUGGUCUCGUCAGGGGAAAAUAAAUUGUUAAAGUUCUAUUGGGACACCCUGUACAGUCGCAGUCUUGUGAUCCCGUAGGAUACACAUCUCAGUCUAACGCCCCGAGGGACGUACAUAUCAGUCUAACGCCCCGAGGGACGUACAUAUCAGUCUAACGCCCCGAGGGACGUACAUAUCAGUCUAGUGUUCUGCAGAAACACAUAUCAGUCAAAUGCUCCCGAAGGUGCAAAAUAAAUUGGUGAUCCCGUGGGACACCUACAAGGUAAACAUCCCAAUACAAUCUAACAAUUUAUCCCCUCAUUCCAUUCAAUCCAUCUUUCAGUUACUUCAAAACAUAGAGUUCUUUCUCUCAACGUCCAAACAGUCAACUUAUCUCACUUUAGUCAUAUGUCUGUCAAUAAUAUACUUAUACGUCAGUCAAUCAAACUAUACAGUCAAUACACCCCUCAGAUCACCAGCACACAGUCAUACUUUAGCGUAACGUACACCCAAUCUAAACGACAAUCACAAGAUCGCAUCUGCAUCUCAUACAAGCACAAUCUACAACAUCACCUGUCUAUGUAGUGAUAUAUAUUGAAAUUCAACUAUAAAUUAUGUAGAACUAUAUGUCACUAAAUAUUUAUGUUGUAAAUAAGGUGUAUCUAUAUAUUAAAUCACAUCAUAAACAUAUUAUAAUUUACGAGUAUAUUAUAGUAUAUAUUGUUCAUUUAAAAAAUAUAUGACAAAUAGAAGGUAUAUAAUUAUACGAAGUGAGAAUAUGUAUGUAUGAUAUUCUCACUACAUAUUAUAUAUACACUAAGAAUGUGUAUUUUACUGUUUUAGUAGUAUUUACUAUAUAAAUAUAUAUUUUAAAUAUUAAUUAUUAAUGAAUAUAUAUGUAACGACCCAACUUUUCUAGGUAAGUCGAGGUCAUUAAUUUUUAACAAAAGACUUUGGUUGAUACAAAAUGAAACGUAAGUCAAUUUAAAAACAAUUUAUGUCAGGCCCGAUUUUCAAAUAUUCAAGAAAACUUAAAAAUAACACUAUUUACAAAUAAAAGUUUGUAAACUAAGUUUUAGUACAUCUUAAACCUCAAAAGAAACCAUAAGCGGAAGCAAAAUGACACAUUUCCUAUGACAAUCACGCUUCCUUCCUGCCCCUCGCCGGUUUGCCACCUUUAUUUCCUUUGCCUGAAAAUUAAACAUAAGAAGGGUGAGUAUAACAAUACUCAGUAAGAGACCCUCUACUGGUCUCGUCAGGGGAAAAUAAAUUGUUAAAGUUCUAUUGGGACACCCUGUACAGUCGCAGCUUGUGAUCCCGUAGGAUACACAUCUCAGUCUAACGCCCCGAGGGACGUACAUAUCAGUCUAACGCCCCGAGGGACGUACAUAUCAGUCUAACGCCCCGAGGGACGUUCAUAUCAGUCUAGUGUUCUGCAGAAACAUAUAUCAGUCAAAUGCUCCCGAAGGUGCAAAAUAAAUUGGUGAUCCCGUGGGACACCUACAAGGUAAACAUCCCAAUACAACCUAACAAUUUAUCCCCUCAUUCCAUUCAAUCCAUCUUUCAGUUACUUCAAAACAUAAAGUUCUUUCUCUCGACGUCCUAACAGUCAACUUAUCUCACUUUAGUCAUAUGUCUGUCAAUAAUAUACUAAUACGUCAGUCAAUCAAACUAUACAGUCAAUACACCCCUCAGUUCACCAGCACAAACCACAUUUGAGUACAAUCCACAUCCAACCGAAACAAAUUCACUAGUUCACAUCCAAAUCUUUAUACAGCACAAUCUAUUAAUAUCAUCAUGUACACAUAAGCAUAAUUUCAGUCAUUCACAUGUAUACUUUCGGCAAUCCACAUCAAUUCACACAUCAAUGUAUAUAUAUAUGUUUCUAGUCAAAUACAACAUACACUAAACAUUUAGUCUGCAAUCAAACAUGUACAUCUUAAUCAUCAUCCAUAUAGUCCAACACAACUCAAAAACUUUAGGUGAGUCCAGUAGAAAGUCCCUUACCUCAAAGUUGGGGAAACUCCUUAAUCAACUAACGUCCUCGAAACAAUCCUAAGCACAACAACACAAAAUUCAAUUACUUUCACGAUACAUAUCUCACUUACUUUCCUCAACGUAAGUUCCAACUCACCGAUAUACUGGCGAACUGAACCCUCAACAAUUCACAAAUUGAUUGUGAAUUUAAGGGAGCCCAACGUUACUCCCAACACCUCAACGCACGACUGUCGAACUCGCAGCAAAAAUCCUAAGUGUGGGUCGGUCAGCGGUCGGCCAAAUGAGAUGUGGCGGCUGGGCUUCACGGAUGGAGACCGUCGCGGACAGACCGCGAAUCUGAAUGGUUACAGCAAUUCUGAACGGUUACAGCAAAUCUGAACGGUUACAGCAACUAGUCGGCCGACGUGGAUAGCAGGUGGAGCGGCAGUUGUGAGCGGGGAGCGUGGCGGUUACUGGUUCACGCGGCGGCCUUGGCUUCGACAGAGACAGAACCGGCUGAGACGGCUGGGCAGCGGCGGAAGAGCAACGGCUGCAGCGGCGGAAGGUCUUGCGGUACAGAUCUAGACGGCGGCCGCAAGGUGACGCGUACGGCUGCCUCGCGAACUGGCCGAUGGUUGCAGCGACGUCCGGCUGGGUUUGGACGGAACGGAGAGGAGAAGAGAAGAUGGAGAUGGCCGGCGACGGUUGCUGUGCGAACGGAUGGAGCGGCUGGGCUGCGGCGGGAAGAAAACGGAGGAGAAAGGAUCGGCGGCUGGGCUGCGGCUGCGCACGAACGGAAGGAGAAGAGGAAUGGAGGUCGGCCGGUGGCGGUUGCUGCGCUGCGAACGGGGAGAGGGGAAGGGCGCACGGCGCACGGGAGGAGAAGAGAAGAGAAAAGAAAAAGAAAAAGAAAAAGAAAAAAGAAAAAAAAAUAAUAAAAAAUUUCUUUAUUAUUAUUAUUAUUUUUUUUUAAAUUAAUAAAAAUAAUAUAUAUACCUUUCCUUCUUUUCCUCUUUUUCUUCCUCUCUUCUUGGGGCAUUACAUUCUUCCCUCGUUAAGAAACUUUCGUCCUCGAAAGUUUUAAUCUUGAAAUAACUCUGGAUAACGAGUCCUCAUCUCUUCCUCUCGCUCCCAUGUCGCCUCUUCAAUUCGAUGAUUCCGCCACAAAACCUUUACUAAUGGAAUGCUUCUAUUACGAAGCAUCUUCACCUCUCUAGCCAGAAUCUCCACAGGUUGUUCUACAUAGCUCAAAUGCUCAUCAAUCUCCAAGGGUUCAUAGUCUACUACAUGAGAUGUAUCGACCACAUAUUUCCUCAACAUCGAAACAUGGAAAACAUUAUGGACUGCAGAGAGUGGUGGUGGUAACGCCAAGCGAUACGCCACAACACCAACCCUCUCUAAGAUCUCAAAUGGUUCAACAAAUCGAGGACUUAACUUCCCUUUCUUCUCAAAACGCAUAACACCCUUCAUUGGUGCUACCUUCAAGAAUAUCUUUUCUCCCACAUCAAACUUAAGGUCUUUUCGCCGUACAUCCGCAUAACUCUUCUGUCUACUUUGCGCUGUUUGCAUACGCGUUCUAAUCUUUUGAAUAGCCUCAUUAGUAGACCGAACUAAUUCAGGUCCCAUCAACCUAUGUUCACCAACCUCACUCCAACAAACAGGGGUUCUACAACAUUUGCCAAAGAAAGCCUCAAAUGGUGUCAUACCGAUGGUAGCCUGAAAACUGUUGUUAUAAGCAAACUCCAUCAAAUGUAGAUGAGAGUCCCAACUACCUGGAAACUCUAUAACA
Molecule: long non-coding RNA, 19654 nt
Filed under: Cucumis sativus (cucumber)
Lineage: Eukaryota; Viridiplantae; Streptophyta; Magnoliopsida; Cucurbitales; Cucurbitaceae
Description: long non-coding RNA (CSAT_LNC000242)
Source: RNAcentral